UACGUAGGGGGCAAGCGUUGUCCGGAUUCAUUGGGCGUAAAGAGCGUGUAGGCGGCCAGGCAGGUCCGCUGUGAAAACUCGAGGCUCAACCUCGAGAGGUCGGUGGAAACCGUCUGGCUAGAGUCCGGAAGAGGAGAGUGGAAUUCCCGGUGUAGCGGUGAAAUGCGCAGAUAUCGGGAAGAACACCCGUGGCGAAGGCGGCUCUCUGGGACGGUACUGACGCUGAGACGCGAAAGCGUGGGGAGCGAACAGG
This 253-nucleotide ribosomal RNA is filed under the name uncultured bacterium. RNAcentral describes it as "partial 16S ribosomal RNA". It matches the Rfam family "Bacterial small subunit ribosomal RNA", at positions 524 to 776 of the family's 1533-position model. The record is from RNAcentral.